This 76-nucleotide transfer RNA is filed under the name Candidatus Abyssobacteria bacterium SURF_5. Its description in RNAcentral is "Candidatus Abyssubacteria bacterium SURF_5 tRNA-Gln". It matches the Rfam family "tRNA". From Rfam's summary of the family: Transfer RNA (tRNA) molecules are approximately 80 nucleotides in length. Their secondary structure includes four short double-helical elements and three loops (D, anti-codon, and T loops). The record is from RNAcentral. Lineage: Bacteria; Pseudomonadati; Candidatus Hydrogenedentota; Candidatus Abyssobacteria.
UGGGGAGUCGUCGAAUUGGCAAGACGCCUGACUCUGGAUCAGGAAGCUGUAGGUUCGAGUCCUACCUCCCCAGCCC